Long non-coding RNA from Gorilla gorilla gorilla (western lowland gorilla), 1451 nucleotides. RefSeq lists it as uncharacterized. The transcript has 3 exons. NCBI's taxonomy places the organism in Eukaryota, Metazoa, Chordata, Mammalia, Primates, Hominidae. The record is from RefSeq and is a predicted model, not a curated record.
CGGAGGGAAGAGGGGGAGGGAGUUUCUGGUUUUGCAUGAAGAAGCAGAACAUGAUGAAGCAUUUUUCCCCCAUCUAAAGAUCCAGUCGUGCUCCAGUUUGCAGAGGGCAAGGGGCUGGUUGCAGGUGGUGCUGGGAGGAUGGAGGCAUAUACCCAUCUGCUGUGUGGCUGGACCAUGUGGGUAAACUCUCCGGAGGCCUGCGUGAGCUAAGGGGGAUGCUCCAUCCCAUGCGCAGUGGAGCCUGCCUCCAUGGGCCCUGCUGGCCUUCAUGGCACCACCUCUCCCAUAGACAUCAGAGCUCCGGUGCCAGCGCUUCCCCCCACAGACCCACUCGGUGGUGCCCAGCCAGGCUACCCUGCACAGCAUCCCACUCAUCUAUGCCAGAGUGAUGGCUGCUCAGCUAGCCACGAGAGGGUAGCACACCCUCUGCCCAUCCUGCAACAUGUCUGAAGCCCACGUAGACCCCUUCAUCUCAUGGACACUACAUUAAGCUCACGCACAAGCACCUGGGCUUCAGUGGGAGCUUAUUUGGCCUCCCCAGGAUGGACUGGAGCAUCAGUAGUGCCCGGGUUCAUCACAGGACAGAUACUCAAGACACUCUUAUCACCAUUAGGUGGACUUGGAGGAGCAAAAAACGAGCGCAGUGGCUCCUCAGUAGAGACACUCCUGAAUGUAUAGACAUGGGAACCACCUUCAGCAUCAAAAAAGGAAACGUUCUGCAUGCCCAUAUCCAGAAAAAUCCCCACUCGCUGUAACUUGCGGUCUACGAAGAGGAAAGUCAGCGGCACCAUGCUGGCAGAGAGGCGACCUCCAUCCCUCAAACUCACAGUCCAGAAUCCAAGCUCUGUGGUCAGAUGGAUCCUCCCUUUGUGGUAAACAGAUUCUCUGCAGACUCCCAGGUCCUAUUCUGCGCUUGUUCCCACGUCCACCUCCCAGUAGUGGCAGCCACAGGUAAAGCGAGGGGAGCCCAGGACACAAAUGGACACGUCAAAUCUCUCGGCAAGGUCUUGCCGAUUCUGUGUGAUGCGCCCACUUCAGACGCUCCUGAGGUCGUCAGAAAUGAGGAGGAAGUUGUUGGCUGUGUCGGCAUCCAAGGUCGUAUCCACUGUGAAAAGGAAAACAAGUUGAUCAGCAAAUGGACAGAAGCCAACCCCAUGCCUCUCCUCUACUUCAAAGGCCCAAAUAUCUCUUGACUUUGGUUUCUUUAAUUCUCUUCUUCCCCCAAAAUCAAAACUUUUCAUGAGGCAACUUCCCUGACUAGUUCAAAUUCUCGUAGCUAUGCUUUGUGGCAAUACCCAACUCUUAUUCACAGUAGCAAUUAUUUUACUUUACGUCACGUGUUUGCUUCAUUGGCCUUUUCUUCAUUUAGAGUGGAGGGUCUCUGAAGGCAGACACCAUGCCCCCCUUUCUACCACCGUGAUGUGUGAACAAGUAAAUGAUAAUUAAGACAA